This 140-nucleotide small nucleolar RNA is filed under the name Otolemur garnettii (small-eared galago). RNAcentral's name for it is "Small nucleolar RNA SNORA11". It matches the Rfam family "Small nucleolar RNA SNORA11". Rfam says of the family: U107 (SNORA11) is a member of the H/ACA class of snoRNAs that guide the sites of modification of uridines to pseudouridines. Lineage: Eukaryota; Metazoa; Chordata; Mammalia; Primates; Galagidae. The record is from Rfam by way of RNAcentral.
UUGUAAUCAAAGAACAUUUUUUGAAUUACUUGAUUCUUUUAAAAUUUGUUGGAAUAUUUAUAACACACCCAAUAGGAAUCUGGGGUUGUGAUGAGGGGGAUAAAACUUGUGGCUUCCCUAUAAACAAAUUCUCUACAUGU